UACGAGGGGGGCAAAUGUUGUUCGGAAUCACUGGGCGUAAAGGGAGCGUAGGCGGGCUUUUAAGUUAGGUGUUUAAUCCCGGGGCCCAACCCCGGACAGGCACCUAAAACUGGGAGUCUUGAAUAGUGGAGAGGUCGGCGGAAUUGGGGGUGUAGCGGUGGAAUGCGUAGAGAUCCCGAAGAACACCAGUUGCGAAGGCGGCCGACUGGACACAUAUUGACGCUGAGGCUCGAAAGCAUGGGGAGCAAACAGG
This 253-nucleotide ribosomal RNA is filed under the name uncultured bacterium. Its description in RNAcentral is "partial 16S ribosomal RNA". It matches the Rfam family "Bacterial small subunit ribosomal RNA", at positions 524 to 776 of the family's 1533-position model. The record is from RNAcentral.